This 469-nucleotide long non-coding RNA is filed under the name Mytilus galloprovincialis (Mediterranean mussel). Lineage: Eukaryota; Metazoa; Mollusca; Bivalvia; Mytilida; Mytilidae. The record is from RNAcentral.
CCGCUUCUGAAAAUAACUGACACAUUUGCAUCCUAUUGGCUAUUUAAAUAUAAAAUGACCAAAAAUAGUAUCUAUGAUGAUAGGAGUCCCUAAAUAUUUGCAUAAAUACCCAUCACUCCUUGUAAAAUUGUAACUGAGGCUGCGAAAAGGAAGCACAUAAAUCGACGCCAUUUUUCAACAGAUUAAGGUUUCUGAGCUCACGAAAUCCUACUAUUAUUACUUUUAAUGGUUAGUAGAAAGAUAUCAACAUUAUCCAUAACAUAAUUCAUUGAUCAGAUCGGGUUAUGGCUAUAUGUUUGCCUCUUUUAGGAUGCUGAAAUCCAUUAAAUUCCCCCAGACCACACGAAAUAAACGCCCCUUUCUCAGCCCGAGACUUCAAUUUUGAUUAAAACUUGAAUUUUGGCAUGUCAAUGUUAGCAUUUAUAAUUUUAAUUAAAUUAUUACGGUUGUGUUAAGCAUUUGUGCUGAU